Molecule: ribosomal RNA, 253 nt
Filed under: uncultured bacterium
Lineage: Bacteria
Description: partial 16S ribosomal RNA
Rfam family: Bacterial small subunit ribosomal RNA
Source: RNAcentral
UACGAAGGGGGCUAGCGUUGCUCGGAAUCACUGGGCGUAAAGGGUGCGUAGGUGGUUCGUUAAGUCUGUCGUGAAAGCCCCGGGCUCAGCCUGGGAAUGGCGAUGGAUACUGGCGGGCUAGAGUGCGGUAGAGGAGAGUGGAAUUCCCGGUGUAGCAGUGAAAUGCGUAGAGAUCGGGAGGAACAUCAGUUGCGAAAGCGGCUUCCUGGUCCAGCACCGACGUUCAGGCACGAAAGCGUGGGGAGCAAACAGG